RNAcentral lists this ribosomal RNA (1899 nucleotides) under Triticum aestivum (bread wheat). RNAcentral's name for it is "partial small subunit ribosomal RNA". The record is from RNAcentral. Lineage: Eukaryota; Viridiplantae; Streptophyta; Magnoliopsida; Poales; Poaceae.
AUGGCUCCUUCUCCACGCCCGAAGCCGGCUUCCGCGUCUUCAUUGACGGCGGCCGCCGCGGCGUCCCCAGCCCCGUCCGCCUCCCUCUUGGCAUUUGCGUCGCCGUCGGCAACGGCUGCUGCUUCGGCCGCGCUAGGCGCGGUGACAUCCCCAGCCCCGACGUCUCCUCGCUCAACUUCCACGUCGCCGUCAACUGCAAAUGCUUCAGCCGUGCUCGGCACACGGGCUCUUCCUGCCAGCGCCAUCGACUCUGUUGUGCGUGCACCGCAGCGGACACUGCCUGUGUCGUGGGCCUCCCUCAACGCCGACAAUGAUGAUGACGACAUCGACGAUGACGACGAGCUCGCCCCACUGACGCCGUUGGCUACCAGAUGCUCAGGUGGGGUGAGUGAUUCGGCUGCUUCUACUCCUGGGGCAACACCGGGGCAGCCAUGGGUGAAGGUGGGGGGCCGCCAUCGCCCCCGGCAGGAGUUGGCACCUGGGCCGCCGCGCAGGAAGGAGACUGCGAGCUCCCUCGCCUUCAAGCGAAGAGCCUACGGCCUCUGUUUUCGUUGCUUGGCGCCAGAACAUCUCGUUGCUGAUUGUCACGGCCCGGUUAGAUGUCUGGCGUGUGGCCUCCCAGGCCAUCGUGAACGUGGUUGUCCCUCGAGCCAGCCAAUGAAGGAUGGUUCUCGCCUUCGUCCCCGCUCGUCGCCGGCUUCCCCGCACCAUCCAAUGGACCUGCCGGACUGCCAAGCUCCUUGCCACUACAUCCGCUCGACUCCUAGAUCUCCGCAUCGACGCACCUGGGCCUCCAUUGUUACCCCUCAGGCUGCAGCAGAUCCAAACAAGUUUGUUGCUGCUGAUUGGGGAUUGCUUGAGCCUCUCUUUACUAAGAAGGAAAUGUUGCACUCUGAGAUGCAGACCUUGACCGUCUCUCGCUUGGAGGUGGUCCAGCCCCUUCACGACAUGAUGACUGCUUUACAGGGGUGGAUGACCCGGCUUGGUGGAUUCAUGGAGCAGAUGGAGGUUGUUGUUGGCCAACUGGGCUGCUUGCCAGCCUCGCUCCAGUCGCUUGAGAUGCCAGCUACAGGUUCUGUUGGGAAUGUUGCUGGUGCUGUGGAUGUCGACAGCGAAGUGGCUAGUUGCUCGUCUGAGCUCCUUGCUUCAGUGGUGCAGCUUGGGGGUGUGACCCCUGUUCUUGUCUCGUUUUCGCCUUUGGAGGAGCAUGCUGAGGCUGUUGCGGCUGUGGCAUGCGCGGAGGCUGCUCUUGGCAGUCUUCCAGUUGAGCCUCCCAUGUCUCAGCUGCCCGAGCACCAGGUUGGUUUUGUGGAUGGACGAGAAGCAUGCCUCUAUGGAUGUUUCUCCCCUCGUGCCCCUCUCUGCACAUCGCCGCUACCUGUCAUGUUGAGUGACCCUGAGAGUGAGGUCGUCACCAAUGACGUGGCUACGGUGAUACAAAGUAUGCCCGAGCUGCAUGCGUUAAGUGUGGAAACCAUUUCUCCUUCAUCGAUGGUGCUCUCGAAGGUGGAUUCGCUGGGUGCGAUGACGGUUGCCUCGACGCCCUCUCCACAUCCCUUGGAGCCUGCAUGUGUGGAGAGUGGUGGUCCAGGAACGUCUGGCAGGUGCUCGCUUGAGCCCUUUGGAGGUGUGGUUCCUAUGGCCGAUGAAAUUGUUGUGGCCGGAGUGUUGGUGCCUAACCCCCGGGUCCUUUUAGCCACCAAGAUUUGUGAAUUCCUCGCCAAUUUGGACUCUGAAAAUUCUGGGAAGACGAUUGGAUGCCUCUUGGAGGAAAAAUCUCUGAGGGAGAAGCACAAAAAGGGUGGCUCUAACUCUAGAUCCGGCGCCCUCAAAGGGAAACCUUCCAGGAGCAAAAGCAAGAAGGAUGACACUACACGGGAGGCGCAAAUGACUCCAUGA